UACAGAGGUCUCAAGCGUUGUUCGGAUUCAUUGGGCGUAAAGGGUGCGUAGGUGGCGGGGUAAGUCAGGUGUGAAAUCUCGGAGCUCAACUCCGAAACUGCACUUGAUACUGCCUUGCUGGAGUACUGGAGAGGAGAUUGGAAUUUACGGUGUAGCAGUGAAAUGCGUAGAUAUCGUAAGGAAGACCAGUGGCGAAGGCGAACCUCUGGACAGUUACUGACACUGAGGCACGAAGGCCAGGGGAGCAAACGGG
Molecule: ribosomal RNA, 253 nt
Filed under: uncultured bacterium
Lineage: Bacteria
Description: partial 16S ribosomal RNA
Rfam family: Bacterial small subunit ribosomal RNA
Source: RNAcentral